CCCUUAGAUGUUCUGGGCUGCACGCGCGCUACACUGAUGCGUUCAACGAGUGUAUCACCUUGCCCGAUAGGGUAGGGUAAUCUUUUGAACACGCAUCGUGAUGGGGAUAGAUUAUUGCAAUUAUUAAUCUUCAACGAGGAAUUCCUAGUAAUGAUGAAUCAUCAGUUCGUCGUGAUUACGUCCCUGCCCUUUGUACACACCGCCCGUCGCUCCUACCGAUUGAGCAAUCCGGUGAAUACUUCGGACCGUUUAUGGAAUUGGUUCGCCAAAUCCACGAAUGGAAAGUCGAGUGAACCUUAUGGCUUAGAGGAAGGAGAAGUCGUAACA
This 327-nucleotide ribosomal RNA is filed under the name uncultured eukaryote. Its description in RNAcentral is "partial 18S ribosomal RNA". It matches the Rfam family "Eukaryotic small subunit ribosomal RNA", at positions 1470 to 1796 of the family's 1831-position model. The record is from RNAcentral.